RNAcentral lists this ribosomal RNA (452 nucleotides) under uncultured bacterium. Its description in RNAcentral is "bacterial SSU rRNA". It matches the Rfam family "Bacterial small subunit ribosomal RNA", at positions 328 to 794 of the family's 1533-position model. The record is from RNAcentral.
AGCCCAGACUCCUACGGGAGGCAGCAGUGGGGAAUAUUGCACAAUGGGGGGAACCCUGAUGCAGCGACGCCGCGUGGGUGAAGGAGCACCUCGGUGCGUAAAGCUCUAUCAGCAGGGAAGAAAGAAAUGACGGUACCUGACUAAGAAGCCCCGGCUAACUACGUGCCAGCAGCCGCGGUAAUACGUAGGGGGCAAGCGUUAUCCGGAUUUACUGGGUGUAAAGGGAGCGUAGACGGCAGUGCAAGUCUGAAGUGAAAGGCGGGGGCCCAACCCCCGGACUGCUUUGGAAACUGUGCUGCUGGAGUGCAGGAGAGGCAAGUGGAAUUCCUAGUGCAGCGGUGAAAUGCGUAGAUAUUAGGAGGAACACCAGUGGCGAAGGCGGCUUGCUGGACUGUAACUGACGUUGAGGCUCGAAAGCGUGGGGAGCAAACAGGAUUAGAUACCCGUGUAUA